This is a transfer RNA of Camelus ferus (Wild Bactrian camel), 73 nucleotides long. It matches the Rfam family "tRNA". Rfam says of the family: Transfer RNA (tRNA) molecules are approximately 80 nucleotides in length. Their secondary structure includes four short double-helical elements and three loops (D, anti-codon, and T loops). The record is from Rfam. Lineage: Eukaryota; Metazoa; Chordata; Mammalia; Artiodactyla; Camelidae.
GAGGGUACGGCUCAAGUGGUAGAGAGCAUGCUUAGCAUGCAUGAGGUCCUGGGAUCAAUCCCCAGUACUUCCU